Molecule: ribosomal RNA, 646 nt
Filed under: uncultured bacterium
Lineage: Bacteria
Description: bacterial SSU rRNA
Rfam family: Bacterial small subunit ribosomal RNA
Source: RNAcentral
GUCGAACGGGACUCUUCGGAGUUCAGUGGCGGACGGGUGAGUAACGCGUGAGAAUCUACCUUCAGGUCUGGGACAACCACUGGAAACGGUGGCUAAUACCGGAUGUGCCAUACAGUGAAAGAUUUAUCGCCUGAAGAUGAGCUCGCGUCUGAUUAGCUAGUUGGUGAGGUAAAAGCUCACCAAGGCGACGAUCAGUAGCUGGUCUGAGAGGAUGAUCAGCCACACUGGAACUGAGACACGGUCCAGACUCCUACGGGAGGCAGCAGUGGGGAAUUUUCCGCAAUGGGCGAAAGCCUGACGGAGCAAGACCGCGUGAGGGAGGAAGGCUCUUGGGUUGUAAACCUCUUUUGUCAGGGAAGAAGAAAGUGACGGUACCUGACGAAUCAGCCUCGGCUAACUCCGUGCCAGCAGCCGCGGUAAUACGGAGGAGGCAAGCGUUAUCCGGAAUCAUUGGGCGUAAAGCGUCCGCAGGUGGCUAUUCAAGUCUGCUGUCAAAGCACAGGGCUUAACCCUGUUAAGGCGGUGGAAACUGAAAGGCUAGAGUGCGGUAGGGGUAGAGGGAAUUCCCGGUGUAGCGGUGAAAUGCGUAGAGAUCGGGAAGAACAUCGGUGGCGAAAGCGCUCUACUGGACCGCAACUGACACUCA